RNAcentral lists this ribosomal RNA (492 nucleotides) under uncultured bacterium. RNAcentral's name for it is "partial 16S ribosomal RNA". It matches the Rfam family "Bacterial small subunit ribosomal RNA", at positions 29 to 507 of the family's 1533-position model. The record is from RNAcentral.
AGUGAACGCUGGCGGUAGGCCUAACACAUGCAAGUCGAACGGCAGCACAGUAAGAGCUUGCUCUUACGGGUGGCGAGUGGCGGACGGGUGAGGAAUACAUCGGAAUCUACUUUUUCGUGGGGGAUAACGUAGGGAAACUUACGCUAAUACCGCAUACGACCUACGGGUGAAAGCAGGGGAUCUUCGGACCUUGCGCGAUUGAAUGAGCCGAUGUCGGAUUAGCUAGUUGGCGGGGUAAAGGCCCACCAAGGCGACGAUCCGUAGCUGGUCUGAGAGGAUGAUCAGCCACACUGGAACUGAGGCACGGUCCAGACUCCUACGGGAGGCAGCAGUGGGGAAUAUUGGACAAUGGGCGCAAGCCUGAUCCAGCCAUACCGCGUGGGUGAAGAAGGCCUUCGGGUUGUAAAGCCCUUUUGUUGGGAAAGAAAAGCAGCAGGUUAAUACCCCGCUGUUCUGACGGUACCCAAAGAAUAAGCACCGGCUAGCUUCGUG